GAUGAACGCUAGCGGCAGGCUUAACACAUGCAAGUCGAGGGGUAACAUUGUGCUUGCACAGAUGACGACCGGCGCACGGGUGCGUAACGCGUAUACAAUCUACCUUAUAGAGGGGGAUAGCCCAGAGAAAUUUGGAUUAAUACCCCAUAGUAUUAUGAAAUAGCAUUAUUUCAUACUUAAACAUUUAUGGCUAUAAGAUGAGUAUGCGUUCUAUUAGUUAGUAGGUAAGGUAACGGCUUACCUAGACAUCGAUAGAUAGGGGUCCUGAGAGGGAGAUCCCCCACACUGGUACUGAGACACGGACCAGACUCCUACGGGAGGCAGCAGUGAGGAAUAUUGGACAAUGGGCGAGAGCCUGAUCCAGCCAUGCCGCGUGCAGGAAGACGGCCCUAUGGGUUGUAAACUGCUUUUACAGAGGAAGAAACCCUCCCUUGCGAGGGAGCUUGACGGUACUCUGCGAAUAAGGAUCGGCUAACUCCGUGCCAGCAGCCGCGGUAAUACGGAGGAUCCAAGCGUUAUCCGGAAUCAUUGGGUUUAAAGGGUCCGUAGGCGGGACAAUCAGUCAGCGGUGAAAGUCUGUGGCUCAACCAUAGAAUUGCCAUUGAUACUGUUGUUCUUGAAUACUUAUGAAGUGGUUGGAAUAUGUAGUGUAGCGGUGAAAUGCAUAGAUAUUACAUAGAACACCGAUUGCGAAGGCAGAUCACUAAUAAUUUAUUGACGCUGAUGGACGAAAGCGUAGGUAGCGAACAGGAUUAGAUACCCUGGUAGUCUACGCCGUAAACGAUGGUUACUAGCUGUUCGGGAGCAAUCCUGAGUGGCUAAGCGAAAGUGAUAAGUAACCCACCUGGGGAGUACGUUCGCAAGAAUGAAACUCAAAGGAAUUGACGGGGGCCCGCACAAGCGGUGGAGCAUGUGGUUUAAUUCGAUGAUACGCGAGGAACCUUACCAGGGCUUAAAUGUAGUUUGACCGAUUUGGAAACAGAUCUUUCGCAAGACAAAUUACAAGGUGCUGCAUGGUUGUCGUCAGCUCGUGCCGUGAGGUGUCAGGUUAAGUCCUAUAACGAGCGCAACCCCUGUGGUUAGUUGCCAGCGAGUCAAGUCGGGAACUCUAACCAGACUGCCAGUGCAAACUGUGAGGAAGGUGGGGAUGACGUCAAAUCAUCACGGCCCUUACGUCCUGGGCCACACACGUGCUACAAUGGUAGGGACAGAGAGCAGCCACUGCGCAAGCAGGAGCGAAUCUACAAACCCUAUCUCAGUUCGGAUCGGAGUCUGCAACUCGACUCCGUGAAGCUGGAAUCGCUAGUAAUCGCAUAUCGUCCAUGAUGCGGUGAAUACGUUCCCGGGCCU
Molecule: ribosomal RNA, 1350 nt
Filed under: uncultured bacterium
Lineage: Bacteria
Description: bacterial SSU rRNA
Rfam family: Bacterial small subunit ribosomal RNA
Source: RNAcentral